This 344-nucleotide long non-coding RNA is filed under the name Phoenix dactylifera (date palm). RNAcentral's name for it is "long non-coding RNA (PDAC_LNC005924)". The record is from RNAcentral. Lineage: Eukaryota; Viridiplantae; Streptophyta; Magnoliopsida; Arecales; Arecaceae.
UAGAUAUUAUUUUAAACUCUUGGGCAUUUUUAAGUCUGUAGGAGCCAUCUAGGGCUCCUUGACCCAAAAUUCUUCUAGAUCAGAGGUCAUAACUCCAGUUCCGUCAAUCAUGACCACAAUCUAGGUGCACAUCCUAAGCCCAAAUCUAGCCCUUAGAGUACCUAUAAUUUCUUGAUCCAAGUGCAUCAGGACUCCUUGCUUGUGACCUAAAUGGUGUGGCUAUAGUUAGUUAUGCCCUACUUGUUGAAAAAAUAAUUUGUAAUUUUCUAGAAGCUGAAGAAUCAUAGAUUAGUCACUAAUGUAUCUGAAAGCUGAAGAAUCAAGUAGAAGAACCUAGAAGAUGA